This is a long non-coding RNA of Manis javanica (Malayan pangolin), 1787 nucleotides long. RefSeq lists it as uncharacterized. NCBI's taxonomy places the organism in Eukaryota, Metazoa, Chordata, Mammalia, Pholidota, Manidae. The record is from RefSeq and is a predicted model, not a curated record.
GGGGGCACCUGGGGCCCUGGGGGAGCAGUCUUUUCCCAGGCCUUGCCUGGUGUCGCUGGCUUGCAUGGGAUCAGGAAGGGGGCCUGGAAGCAGAGGGGCUCUUAGGCAGAGCUGAAGGACAAGACUACUCCCAGGAGAGAGCCUGGCUCUGCACACCUGCCUGGCUCAUCUCCUGGGGUUCCCCACAACCUGGUUAGAGCCACACUGGCCCAGGGAUAAUCACCCUGACCCCAGCACCAAGCUCUGUGCCCAUGAUCCCUGCCCCUGGCAUCUGGAACUACUUGGAGCAUCUUUGGGACUUGUUGGAAGGCCAUAUAGAAAAGCCUUCCUCCAUCUUGGUAAUGGAGUGUUAGCUGAGCAGAUGAACACCUACACAACCAACUCGGCAGCUCUCCUGGGUGACGUGAACAGACUGCACAAAGAUAGCAGCAGAGGGGCCUCUGGAGGAGAGCAGAGACGUUUAUCACCUGCCAGAAGAGGACAGCUAUCGGUUUAUUGUCUGUCUCCCCACCUAAAAUUAGAGGAAGCUCCUCUUUUUCAAAAGAAAUACAAAAAAGACUGGAAGGAUACAGAGGACAAACUCCAGCGCUACCCACUUUUAAGUUCCAACUUCCUCCACUGAUAACAAUACCUGCGACAAUCCCUUGGGUAGCCAUAAAAGGGUAGAAGCUACCUAAUCCAACCUCAGAGGACAACCCUUAGUUGGAAUCAUAACCUUCUGAGCAGAGAGUCUAAGAGAUCUUCUGUGGUUUAGAAGAAUUGACGAAUUUAUCUGAAUUAUCUACUACAGAUAAACAAAUGUUCCUCAGAAAUAUGAAAGUAUGUCAAACUAUAAAGGGGCUACAGAAAGUUUAGUGGUAUUAUUUCCACUUUAAAAAUGUAUUCUCUCCUUAUCUUACUGAUAGUUUUUAAAAUUUCAUCAUAAAAUGUUGGUACUUAAAUGCAAUUGAUAUUUGUAAAUUAGACCUCAAUAGAGCUGAUUUCUUUUCUUUAAAAAGGCACUGGCAAUAACCUAGUACAACUCCCUCCUUUUAUAGGUAAGAGUAAAAAUAACAAAAGAUGACAUGUCUUGACUCUGCUACAGAGCUAAUUGCUAUCAGACUUGAAAUUAGAGAUCAGCUCUCCUGGAAACUGAUUAAGGUAUUUAUUUUCUCCUUGUUCUUUUAGGCACAUCCCCCUUCUUUGUAAAAUAUAACACAUAUGAAAAAAUGUACAAAAUAAAAAUUAAGUUAAAUGAUUACUAAGUGAAGACUAAUGAAAUCACCAUCUAGGCUAAGAAACAGAACCCUGGCAGCAACUGCUGUCUUGACUUGUUUUACAGUAGUCAUUACUUUUUACUUAUCAUUUUACCACAUAAGCAUUCAUUUCAUAUACAUGGCACAUUAGUUUGUAAACAAAACACCAAAUAACAACCACAAAAACUUUAUAUGAUGUACUCAGGCUACUGCAAGUAUUCUUUUGUCUGGUUUAUUUCACUCAACAUUAUGUUUGUAAGAGUUAAUCACAUUGACUCAUGUAUCUUUAGUUCACUGACUUUUCAAUGCUGUAUAACAUUCAUUGUAGGAAUGUACUGCUAUUUAUCCAGCCUACUGUUGAUUCUUGUGUGUCUCUUGGUGCAGAUGUGUACAUGUUGCUGUUGAGCAUAUUAAGUUGUAAAAUUGCAAAGUCACAGGACAUUGAUUAUACCAACUAAAGUUGUUUUCCAAAGUGUACCAUAAAAUGGUGCAGCUACUACAGAAAAGCAGUAUGGAGGUUUCUCAAAAAACUAAAAAUAGAAAUACCACAUA